GGACCCGCACAAGCGGCGGAGCAUGCGGAUUAAUUCGAUGCAACGCGAAGAACCUUACCAAGGCUUGACAUAUAGAGGAAAGUUCUGGAAACAGUUCCCCCGCAAGGUCUCUAUACAGGUGGUGCAUGGUUGUCGUCAGCUCGUGUCGUGAGAUGUUGGGUUAAGUCCCGCAACGAGCGCAACCCUCGUUCUAUGUUGCCAGCACGUUAUAGGUGGGAACUCAUGGGAUACUGCCGGGGUCAACUCGGAGGAAGGUGGGGAUGACGUCAAAUCAUCAUGCCCCUUAUGUCUUGGGCUUCACGCAUGCUACAAUGGCCGGUACAAAGGGCUGCAAUGCCGUGAGGUGGAGCGAAUCCCAAAAAGCCGGUCCCAGUUCGGAUUGAGGUCUGCAACUCGACCUCAUGAAGUCGGAGUCGCUAGUAAUCGCAGAUCAGCAACGCUGCGGUGAAUACG
This 453-nucleotide ribosomal RNA is filed under the name uncultured Actinobacteridae bacterium. RNAcentral's name for it is "bacterial SSU rRNA". It matches the Rfam family "Bacterial small subunit ribosomal RNA", at positions 917 to 1370 of the family's 1533-position model. Lineage: Bacteria; Bacillati; Actinomycetota; Actinomycetes. The record is from RNAcentral.